RNAcentral lists this unclassified non-coding RNA (27 nucleotides) under Mus musculus (house mouse). Its description in RNAcentral is "oocyte_clustered_small_RNA8434". Lineage: Eukaryota; Metazoa; Chordata; Mammalia; Rodentia; Muridae. The record is from RNAcentral.
UAGUGUGCCUUAGCCAAUUUGCCAAAG